RNAcentral lists this long non-coding RNA (1128 nucleotides) under Homo sapiens (human). Its description in RNAcentral is "HSALNT0302007". The record is from RNAcentral. Lineage: Eukaryota; Metazoa; Chordata; Mammalia; Primates; Hominidae.
CGGAAUUUCGCUCUGUCGCCCAGGCUAGAGUAGAGUGGAGUGAUCUCGGCUUACUGCAACCUCUGCCUCCCGGGUUCAAGCGAUUCUCCUGCCUCAGUGUCCCAAAUAGCUGGGACUACAGGCUGUCUGCUGCCCUGCAUUGUGAGUUUGCUCAGUGGGCCAGCGUGGCACAGAAGCACAGUUGAGAGACCAGACCCGGGGCCUCUGGAGGAACGUGCUGGUAUCAUCGCUGAAGAGCUUUCUCAAUGCUGGCUGGCUGUUGUCAGGAGCAGUCCUUAGACAGGCUCGCUUCUGGUAGUUCAAAGAAUCAGGUUGGUUUAGCAAUCAUGUUAUCCCUUACAUUACUUGUAUAUUCCUAAGUGUAUUCCAAAGACGGUGAAUUCCCAUCCACAGUAUAGGUGCAAACUGUGAUGAGAUGAGGCUUGGGGUUCUAAUGAAGUGCAGGCCACAGAUUUUAGAACACAGAAGAGAGGUUCUGAGUGUGGUGGUGAAGAGCAUGGACUCAGGAGCCAGACUGCCUGGGUUGGAAUCCCAGUCCCCAGCUUCCUGGCCAUGCUAUCCUGGGCAGGUUACUUAACUACCCAGUGCCUCAAUUUCCCCAUCUGUUAUAUAGGGAUUAAAUAGCCCCUACUUUAAUAGAGUUAAUAUAAGUAUUAAAUGAGUAAGAUGAUUAGGAAAUUGACAUGUAGUAAGUGACAUAUAUGUUUGUUAAAUAAAGUGGAAUAUACUGAUGACUGGUAUUCACUCUAGAAUUCUACAUUCUCACAUGAGAAAGAAUACAAAUGCUAGAAACAACCCAAAUUGGGGCAAAUCUAAAUAAACUGCAAUAUGGUUGUACUAUGAAACACUAUGUAGCCACUUUUUUUUUUUUUUUUUAAAUCUUGAGACAGGGUCUUACUGGGUCACUCAGGCUGGAGUGCGUGGCACCAUCUUGGCUCACUGCAACUUCCACCUCCCAGGUUUAAGUGAUUCUCCAGCCUCAGCCUCCCAAGUAGCUGGGAUUACAGUGUGUGCCACCAUGCCUGGCUAAUUUGUUUGUUUGUUUGUUUGUUUAUUUAUUUUUUUUGAGAGACAAGGUUUCACCAUGUUGCCUAGGCUGGUCUUGAACUCCUGAGCUCAAAGCAGUCC